This 299-nucleotide ribosomal RNA is filed under the name uncultured bacterium. RNAcentral's name for it is "partial 16S ribosomal RNA". It matches the Rfam family "Bacterial small subunit ribosomal RNA", at positions 475 to 776 of the family's 1533-position model. The record is from RNAcentral.
CUAUGCGCCUUGCCAGCCCGCUCAGGUGUGCCAGCAGCCGCGGUAAUACGUAGGGGGCAAGCGUUAUCCGGAUUUACUGGGUGUAAAGGGAGCGUAGACGGCAUUGCAAGUCCGGAGUGAAAGCCCACGGCCCAACCGUGGGACUGCUCUGGAAACUGUAGAGCUGGAGUGCGGGAGGGGCAGGCGGAAUUCCUAGUGUAGCGGUGAAAUGCGUAGAUAUCAGGAGGAACACCGGUGGCGAAGGCGGGUUCCUGGACAUUAACUGACGCUGAGGCACGAAGGCCAGGGGAGCGAAAGGG